GUACUGCCGAAGAGUCCGAAACUAGGACAAAACAGCUGUCCAGUAC
Non-coding RNA from Trichobilharzia regenti, 46 nucleotides. NCBI's taxonomy places the organism in Eukaryota, Metazoa, Platyhelminthes, Trematoda, Strigeidida, Schistosomatidae. The record is from Rfam.